Molecule: ribosomal RNA, 448 nt
Filed under: uncultured bacterium
Lineage: Bacteria
Description: partial 16S ribosomal RNA
Rfam family: Bacterial small subunit ribosomal RNA
Source: RNAcentral
UUCCAGACUCCUACGGGAGGCAGCAGUGGGGAAUAUUGCACAAUGGGGGAAACCCUGAUGCAGCGACGCCGCGUGGGUGAAGGAGCGUUUCGGCGCGUAAAGCCCUAUCGGCAGGGAAGAAGGAGGACGGUACCUGACUAAGAAGCCCCGGCUAACUACGUGCCAGCAGCCGCGGUAAUACGUAGGGGGCAAGCGUUAUCCGGAUUUACUGGGUGUAAAGGGGGCGCAGACGGCAGCGCAAGCCAGGAGUGAAAGCCCGGGGCCCAACCCCGGGACUGCUCUUGGAACUGCGCGGCUGGAGUGCAGGAGGGGCAGGCGGAAUUCCUGGUGUAGCGGUGAAAUGCGUAGAUAUUAGGAGGAACACCAGUGGCGAAGGCGGCUUGCUGGACUGUAAAUGACGCUGAGGCUCGAAAGCGUGGGGAGCAAACAGGAUUAGAUACCCUGGUAU